Dermacentor albipictus is the source of this 6039-nucleotide RNA transcript. It is a transcript of the gene named guanine nucleotide-binding protein G(q) subunit alpha, with no coding region annotated. NCBI's taxonomy places the organism in Eukaryota, Metazoa, Arthropoda, Arachnida, Ixodida, Ixodidae. The record is from RefSeq and is a predicted model, not a curated record.
GAUGCUUUGCGCCGCAUUCUGGUGGCGGCUGUUCGCAGAGUUGCGCGAACUCCCUGUGAUGAUGUGCUUUCUUACGUUAGAAAUUGGAUUAGGAAGCCUUUAAGCAGGUACUUCUUCUUGCAUAAGCCUGCAUCGCCAACUAAUUCAUUUAUGCGGCCACUUUUUGUGUCGGCCGAAGAGAUCAGCAUGCAGCAAAGGAGUUAGUUGCGUGACGGACAACGGGGGGACUCGCGCAAAUUUCUCGGCUAUCACCACACCCAGAGGAGUAAAGGAAGCUUGAGAGUACGGCGUGAGGCUUGAUUGGGUAUCUGUGACGAGGUGUUCAGAACUAGGGUUUGUUUUUUUUUUCGGUUUUCCUCAUUUCUCCGAAAGGCUGGAUCACUUUGUGGAUUGUACGGCGAACGCCUGUUGUGACUGUGGCACCACGGAGUCGUCGGAGUGACAAAUUGGACGACGGGUGUUCAGAGGAGUUCGCGAUCAUGAUGGCGUGUUGCAUUAGUGAAGAAGCGAAAGAACAGAGAAGAAUCAAUCAAGAGAUCGAGCGACAACUACGAAAGGAUAAGCGUGAUGCCCGGCGGGAGCUCAAGCUCCUUCUGCUCGGCACAGGCGAGUCGGGAAAAAGCACCUUCAUCAAGCAGAUGCGGAUUAUCCAUGGCGACGGCUAUAAGGAUGAUAAUGAUAAAAAGGGCUUCAUCAAGCUUGUUUAUCAAAAUAUCUUCAUGGCCAUGCAGAGCAUGGUCAAGGCAAGGGAAAUGCUGAGGAUCCCUUUCCGCGAUCCAGAGAAUCAGGAAAACGCAAACCUGGUGAUGUCCGUAGACUACGAAACAGUCACGACCUUUGAGAAGCCCUACGUGGAUGCUAUCAAGCAGCUUUGGGCUGAUGAAGGCAUCCAGGAGUGCUACUAUAGGCGCCGCGAGUACCAGCUGACAGAUUCUGCCAAAUACUACCUAACAGAUGUGGACAGAAUAGCUGCCCCAAACUACCUUCCUACACAACAAGACAUCCUCCGGGUACGAGUGCCCACUACAGGCAUUAUCGAAUACCCAUUUGACUUGGACUCCAUCAUUUUCAGAAUGGUGGAUGUUGGUGGCCAGCGAUCUGAGCGGAGGAAAUGGAUCCACUGUUUUGAGAAUGUGACGUCUAUUAUAUUUCUAGUAGCCUUAAGUGAAUACGACCAGAUCCUUUUUGAAUCUGACAAUGAGAACCGAAUGGAGGAGAGCAAAGCUUUGUUCAAGACCAUCAUCACAUAUCCCUGGUUCCAAAACUCGUCUGUUAUUCUAUUUCUAAACAAGAAGGACUUACUAGAAGAAAAAAUUAUGUAUUCUCAUUUAGUGGACUAUUUUCCGGAAUAUGAUGACACGGAGAACAUUCGGAUGGUGUUCUGUGCUGUCAAGGACACCAUUAUGCAGAACAACCUUAAAGAGUACAACUUUGCCUGAUGCUUUCAUUCUCAGUCCUGCAUUCCUUUUGAGCCGCAUGCCUUGGGUUUGAAUGGACACAGAGAACAUCCGGUUCGUGUUUGCCGCCGUAAAGGACACCAUCCUGCAGCUGAACUUGAAGGAGUACAACCUAGUGUAGAAAUUGCCUGAAGUUGACCACAGGUUUUCCCCAGCCCACCCCUGGAGGCAGGUUGUCUUCUCUCUCUCUGCCCCUUCUCACAUCUUGCUCCCUCUCGUCCGGCUUGCAAGAGGAAGAGAACAUCACAAGCUCGGUGAAGAUCGCUUGCCGCGAUAAACCGACAGAGACGACGCUCCCCACUGCUUCCUCUGGUGGAGGCAACACAAUGCCAAGAGUGACAUCACUGUGGAUACUUUGCUGGCGCACAUAUGGACAACACAUAUGCUUGUUUUCCUAUAAAGGAGAAGAGACCGUGUGAGAGAGUCCUGCUCUCCUGCCUCUUCCUACAACAGGGGGGGUUGCGACUCUUUUAACCCACUGCGUGGUGCCAUUACUGGGGAGGAUGAAAGACAUGCCUUGUUGUAGCCACACACACCUUGGCAGACGCUUCUCCUUUCUCUUGGACUCGCAAACACAGCCUGUACACUUGUUUCAGUCUUGCUGCCCUGUAAGUUUUCUCUUUAUUAUGCUAUGCCCACCACACUCUGUUGCUGUUGUUUUGUUCCACUGAAAAUUUGUUACAACACUUCUGUGAUUUUUUUUUUCUUUAACAUACCUUUGUGAGCAGCUGCUGUUCAUGUCUAUUAGAUAAGAAAGUGUUACACAUGCCUGGGAUAACCUUCUUGAGGGUUGCAACCCUGAAGCCACUUAAGGACAUUUGUGCUGCUCCAUGUAUGUUGUCCCUGCACAUGCUGCCAGUUUUCUCUUCUUUUUUCUUAAGUCCGUUUUUAAAGGAGUGCCAAAAAAGAAAGGUGUUCGGAUGUGUGCUGCUUGCCAGCUGCAAGUACUUUUGCCACAUUGGUCAGCAUGGCUGGAAGCAUGAGAGAAUAGUGUUGUCACACCGCACUGGUGAGGCAUUGAUGCAGCACAUCUGUGCCAGAGCCUAUGGUUGUACGUCGGUACAGUGCACUCGUUGCAGAUUUGUAGACCUGCCUGCCCUUAACAAGCUCAAAUAAUGACAGGGGUGAACAAGUCCACGCUUGUGGACUUUUGUGGCAGUCCUUUUGAAACCAAUUGCCAUGCUUCGUAUAUGCUAGUGUUUGGUGCACAUCUGUAUGCGAGUUCCUUCUUUCAUUUUUCUUACUAUUGCUUUCUCCUCGUGUCGUUCACAAGUGCCCACCUGUCUGCCAGUUUGCGAGUUUUUGUCCCUCCCCCCACCCUUCUUUUUUUUCUUUUUUUCAGCAGGUUUUGUUCAAACCCUUUUACCUAGUCAGCGUUUUGUACAUAGGCAACAUGGCAGGUGGCAUUGUGCGUCAUUGCGAGUUCUGGAACAGCUGUGGGUCCAAUUCUGCACUCCUUGGCAAGCACACCAUUCUGUCAGCGCCUAAACGCAACCAUUGGGAAUGUGUGUUGUGCAAGUGCUUAGGGGGGAGAGGGGAAACAACUUGCGAGACAGGCUCUGCGAGAAGGUGCCUGAAGUGCCGCAGUAGGCCUCAUAGCCGAGACCUGUCAGCAGUAUUGUGGAUGCGCAGCUCUGGCUUGGUUCCCUUUUUUGGCCAUUGUGCGUCUCCUUGGAAUGAUUGUGCUGCACCUGCUAUUCUCAGCAUGCUUCUGUCUUGAAUGUGUGCAUGUGUGUUUUAGAUAUUGGGCAAACAAACAAACAAACAAGUACAGUUCUCCAGACAAAGGUGCAGUUGGAGGACAACCCCCUUUUAGGCUGCUGAAGUAUAGCUAUAUUUCUUUUUUCAUUCCACCCCCACCCCCCUUUUUUUUCACAACACUAGGUGAACCCAUUUAGAAUCAAUUGCCAAUCAAUUGCUGUGUUCAUAAGAGCGGGAUUUUGGCCAUAUUAUAGAUGGACCUUAUCAGAAUCCGCUGUGUAACGCACAGUAUUGGUUUUUACCUUUUUGUCAAAGUCGCUAGUGGUUAUGCUUGGUUUUAGUCUCUGUAUCAGCUGGCAGCCCCAUGAUGACUGACAUUUACAAUAAUGUAUUGAACAUUGAGUAUUGCUGUACUAGUUGCUCAUUUUCUAUGACACCUUUCAUCCUCUGCAAAGUCUUCAUGUGGAUUACCAAAACACAACUGCCCACUGUAUUUUAUGUAUGCAUGUCUCUCUCUCCAAUCAUUUUUCUUUGUCUCUUUUUGUUUAUUCUGGCAGACCUACAUUUUGAGAGCAGCCUAGGAGUCUUCAGGGUACAGACCCUUUUUCGCAUGUUUCAUUCUCCAAGGCGGGGGCUGGGACAUAAUUAUACUGCCACGUUGCAAAUACGCCAGGAUGUGAGCGAAUGCGAGGAAAACACUGGUCCUCCUGUUUGUUUGGGAGUUGGGCUGAUUUGGAAGCUUGUCAGUGUUCACAGACUGCUUGCCAUGGUGCAUUGAGAGAGGCUUUCCUCGAAAAGCUCUUCAUUGUCGCCAUCCCAAAGUGUUUGUGGUGCGACGUUUCGUCCUGACGGAGGCAACAAACCACACAAUGGUGUCUCACUUAUUCUCGCAGACAUCCUUCUGAAUGAGCAAAUGGGUGUGUAGUUUUCAGCUACAACAGGUGUAGUGCGCCCUCAGUGAAAGGGUGACAUGCUCUCCACUUGUUACUUCAUCCUCCCUCUCUGAACCCCAGCCCCCUUCUCUACUUUUUUCACAAUGCCUUGCUGCUGCUGUUGCUGCUGCUGUUGCUGGAAGUAUGCGUGUAGGACUGUGAGAAGACAACAGCAGAAGAAAAAAAAAAUGGGGUGUGUGCUGAUGUUUUUUAUAAGCUUGCGCAUGCGCGCAUUGUGCGACUGUGGUGUGUUUGUGUUGUUUGACAGGGAAAAACAAAAAGAUGUGCAAAUGAGCUUUUUUGAAGUCCGACCGCGUGCAAAAGAAGACAAAAUGUGUAUCUUAGUAUGGUGUGUAUGUCAGGCCUAUCUUUUUUUAUAUAUAUAUAUAUAAGGAAAAAAAAUGCUAGUUAUUUAAAAGAGGACAGUGUGUAAAGAGUAUGAUUAGUGUUUUAUAGAGCAAUGCAUAUGGUCCCCUUCUUAAGCCCCUUUCCACUGUCAUUCCCGAAGUGCUUGUUCCUCCUUGGUCCUCCAUUCUCUUCACAGCCUGCCCCCACCUUCCUCAUUGCGUGCGGUUAAUCUCUGUCCCAACCUCUCUCCUCAAUUUCCCUGUGUUGUGUUGUCUCGCUGCAGUUAAAGGUGGAUUUCCUCUCCUGCGUGGUUCCCGCUUUUGGCUCAUCCCUCCAUCCUUAAUCAUUACCGCAGUUCCCUUUUCGGUGACCUAUUCGAUGAAACAAGAAAAAAAAACAUACUUGGUACCUGAUUCUUGUCACAUAAGGCAGGAGGACAGAGUUUUUUUCAAAGCGCUGGACUUCGCUUUCAUAGGUGCAUGGUGCAGGAGUUGAACUUGGUAGUUGUACUUUUUCUGGGGGCACACCAAUGACGUUCCGGCGACUUCUGGGCGGGGGGCUAGGCUGGGAGGAGAAUAGUGUGCGUGCGUUUGGCCAUUUCUCUAAUUUCUUCUUUCCUUCUUUACACUUUGCUUGACAUUCUCUCACCACUCCUCUUCACCGUGCUUUUCAGCCCUUUUCUUAGGCUCAAAGGAAAAAAAAGGGGGGGGGAUCGGAGCAUCUGCUGUUUGCAGCCUAUUGUCUUUUUUUUUUUGCAAUGUAGAACAAAGCCUAAUCAUUUAUUCACUAUUAUUAUUAUUAUUAUUAUUAUUAUUAUUGCUCCUGUGUUUUGUACAGUAUUGUUCGGAGCGUCGUUUAUAGUUGAGAGGAGAUAUAUAUAUAUAUAUAUAUAUUAGUUUCGUAGGAUACUUGCCUGUUGUGUUUUAACAGUGCAUUUUUUUUUUUGCCCCCGUCCGAUGCCUUGCCAAACUAUUUUGGGGUUUCUGCAUAGUGCGGAAGUCAAGCUGAUGUUUCUUCAGCUACUUUACGCUUGUUGCAAAGUAUGCGUUUUCGCCUUGGGGGCCUUGUUGUGUGAAGGCUGGAAGAGGCGACUUGUUUGUUUCUUGUCAUGCAUUUUUUCUUUGUCAUGUUGAUUGUUUUUUUCUUAUUGUUUGUGCUGCACACACAUGAAAUUUCUUUUGUUGAUCGUGCAUGGCGCGCUGCGCGGCUGUACGGACUCUCAUUACAAUGUAUAUGGCGCUUCCUCGAUGACGAGACACGCUGCAUCUCCAGGAAAACUGCAGUGUGUGUGACCAUUGUGCAGAAGAUAGCAGCACCAGACAGAACAGGAAUGGACUCCCACCUAGUACGGGACAAGGUGUGCAUGUAUUGUGUGUGUGCAUGUAUAUAUUAUACAUACAUAAAAUAUAUAAAUAUAUAUAAAUGAUACGAGCUCUUGACGAAAACAUAAUGCUUUGUCAGGUCAUUCAGAGGGGGCUCUGAGACACACACACUUUGAGGACUUUACCUUUAUAUGGAUGUGUAAAUUUGUAAUAUUCAAAUUAAUGCAACCGUUGGGUAAAGUAUUGAAUAAAUUCUCUUAAAUUCUCGUUUGAAAAUGA